RNAcentral lists this long non-coding RNA (212 nucleotides) under Mytilus galloprovincialis (Mediterranean mussel). Lineage: Eukaryota; Metazoa; Mollusca; Bivalvia; Mytilida; Mytilidae. The record is from RNAcentral.
GGGGGAGGGAGUGUAUGUUACUUACUUAUCUUGAUGACAAACUUCAACAUCAUGUUUAUAUUGGUUCAUCAGAAACCUUGUAGAAAACCUACUCUAUUAAUUGGUAUUCCAUCUUGUAUGGACUGUCGUGGUUCUAUAAAUAGCACUAUCAGAUAUAAAUUAAAUCACAUUCAAAGUUAUGUUUAUCCAUUGGACAACAAACAACAACAAAC